RNAcentral lists this small nuclear RNA (95 nucleotides) under Cervus elaphus hippelaphus. RNAcentral describes it as "U2 spliceosomal RNA". It matches the Rfam family "U2 spliceosomal RNA". Rfam says of the family: U2 is a small nuclear RNA (snRNA) component of the spliceosome (involved in pre-mRNA splicing). Complementary binding between U2 snRNA (in an area lying towards the 5' end but 3' to hairpin I) and the branchpoint sequence (BPS) of the intron results the bulging out of an unpaired adenosine, on the BPS, which initiates a nucleophilic attack at the intronic 5' splice site, thus starting the first of two transesterification reactions that mediate splicing. The record is from Rfam by way of RNAcentral. RNAcentral also lists the same sequence under 1 other name. Lineage: Eukaryota; Metazoa; Chordata; Mammalia; Artiodactyla; Cervidae.
AUCGCUUCUCGGCCUUUUGGCUAAGAUCAAGUGUAGUAUCUGUUCUUAUCAGUUUAAUAUCUGAUACGUCCUCUAUGUGAAACAGAUCACCAGCC